Molecule: RNA transcript, 2919 nt
Organism: Nelumbo nucifera (sacred lotus)
Lineage: Eukaryota; Viridiplantae; Streptophyta; Magnoliopsida; Proteales; Nelumbonaceae
Source: RefSeq, a predicted model, not a curated record
UUGGCGAAUUUGUCCAUUUUAUAUAUAGAGUCAGAGUUUUAGGCAUUUUCCAUUUUCAGUAAACGUCUUUAAUUAUCAAACCCUGGCAUUUCUUUUCGGUUUUCACUUGCUUUUAACACUAGAAAGAGUACAAAUCUCUCUCUCUCUACAGUCGAAUUCCUUUUGUAAUGGCGGGUUCUUGUCUGCUCUGGUACGCCUGAAACCUGGUUUAUUUGCUCGGGGAUAGAGAAAGAACGAUCUCAGACUUCGGUUUUGGCAUUUGGGUUUUAUUGGUUUUGUUGUUUUAUUUUUGAUCGUUCCGUUUCCUUUUUAAAUUGAAAACCUUGUGAGACAAAAUGAGGUGGGAAAAGGUAGAGUUGAGCAACAGAUUGAGAGAAGCUCUGGACGGGAAGAAAUCUCCGGGUCGAAAAGGUGGGAUUUUUGGGCCUGGGAAGAGAUGGGGGCAUUCAUGCAAUGCAGUUAAAGGAGGGAAGUUUCUUUACGUUUUUGGUGGCUAUGGCAAGGAUAACUGCCAGACCAAUGACGUGUAUGUUUUCGACACUGUUAGGCAGACGUGGAGUAAGCCAAUGGUAAAAGGAAUUCCACCUUCUCCAAGGGACAGUCAUAGUUGUACGACUGUAGGGAACAACCUGUUUGUGUUUGGUGGUACUGAUGGGAGGGUUCCCCUGAAGGAUUUGCAUAUACUGGAUACUUCAUCCAAUACAUGGAUAACUCCGAGAGUUGCUGGUGAGGGACCAGAAGCACGAGAAGGCCAUAGUGCAGCCCUUAUUGGUAAACGACUAUUCAUAUUUGGAGGCUGUGGGAAAUCAUGGAAUGAAUCAAAUGAAUCAAUUGAAGUAUACUAUAAUGAUCUUUACAUGCUAGAUACAGAAACAUUUGUAUGGAGACGUGCUCUUACUUCUGGAACUCCACCUUCUGCACGCGAUAGUCACACUUGUUCGUCUUGGAUGAACAAAAUAAUUGUGGUUGGUGGUGAAGAUGCAUCUGAUUAUUAUUUGUCUGAUGUCCAUAUCCUUGAUACAGAUACUCUUGUUUGGAGGGAACUGGUUACUUCAGGCCAGCUAUUACCUCCUCGUGCUGGACACUCCACUGUUGCUCUCGGAAGAAACUUGUUUGUUUUUGGAGGAUUUACUGAUGCUCGAAAUCUUUAUGAUGAUCUUCACAUGCUUAAUGUUGAGACUGGUUUUUGGACUAAGGUGAUGGCAUCAGGCCAGGGACCCUCUCAGAGAUUUUCUGUGGCUGGGGACUGCUUGGAUCCACAAAAGGGUAUUGCAGUGUUCAUAGGCGGCUGUAACAAUCAGCUUGAGGCCUUGGAUGAUAUGUAUUACUUACACACAGAAUUGUCAGCAGAAAACGGGCAAGAUGAACAAAGGCAAGAAAAGUUAUCCCUCAAGAAAGAAUUAAAGAAAAAGUGCCAAGAACAAUAUGUUCCACUUCCUGCAAAUCUAUCACUAAUCAAUACAGAUGCACCCCAACCUGGAAUGAUGCUUAAUUGGUCCCAACCUGUGCCUUUGCCAAGUUUUAGCCAAGCAGAUUUGCUUUGGAGUGCAGGAAAACAGAUACUACCACUGAAUGAAUCUGGGCAUUCUCAAGAAAAGUUAUUUGAAGCCAAGGUUACUAAAGUUUACCAUUAUGGUUACGCAAUUGAAACUAAUAUUGAUGGAAAGACUCUUCGAGGGAUAAUAUUUUCCUUCAAACCAACUUUCUCCCAUGCAGCUAAUGACUACCUUAGCAGGAAAAGAACAGGUUUUGAAGUUGGUGGUAUUAAGUUGAAUGAUGGUUAUGAGCCCAGAUUGAAAAUGGCUAGGUCUAUAGAAGAACAGGUAAUAAUAGAUCAUCAACAAACAGAUGAUGUUCAUGGAAAAGAAUCCAAAUCACAGAAACCUCAAUUGGAAAAUACUGGUAUCUCAAAGGAAAACGAUUCAAUGCAUGUUGAUGUUUCUCAUGCCCAUGUGGUUGGUAAUAACUUGGGAUCAUCGGUGGAACCUCUUCCAUAUCAUGAUGGUGCAAACGAUCAACAGAAUCCUGAGCUAGAAGUUCCAUCUGGAAAUCUUUCUGCCAGUGCUGAAAACGUGGAUGCUUUGCCCCCAAACUAAGUUGUAGGAAGGGGACUGAAGUCUGAAAUCGCUAUGCAAUUCUUAGGUAUGUAGAGUUGAUCCAAGACCCCCCCUUCCCCCGGGAGAAGAAAAGAAAAAGACAGAAGACCAAUAGGUUAGAUCUAACAUACGGCUGGGUGCCAGGCGUCAUAAAGCAUGAUUUCCUGGGUGAUGACAUCUCCAGACUUCAGUACAACUUACGAAGAUCAGCGAAUGCCUAACAGCAAGCAUGAUUGUCUCAUACAGUCGAGCCAUUGUCAUCUACCAUACAUGGUUCUAAAGAUCAAAGGGUUCAGUUCCGCUUAUAGACCCAUCGUCAGCGGCAGAUACUACAGAUCAUAGAAUGAAGCAUCCUCAAAAUACUGAUAUCAGCUGCAAUCCACCCAAAAUACUGAUAUCAUACUGACAAGACUAUGAAAUUUUGCUAUAGUUGUAUUAACUAUUAAGCAAUAGAUAAUAGAUAAUUAGAUGUGUUCACAGCACCAAACCUUGAAAACCCAUACUCUCUAUGUCUUCUUGCAAGUCUGCGUUGUGUGCCAAAUUAUGAUGUAUCAUUGCAAUGAGGUCCCCUGCCCGGAACUGGAAGAGCGCUGGUGCUGGCGGCAAGGGGUGUCGUCUAUUUGGUGAAAUCAUGAGUUGGUCACUAAGAUAUGUUUUAAUUCCUUGACCCUUGUCACCUAUUGUCUUCAAGGUUUCACUUGUUGGUGAAUGAAGGAUAUGCGGCUUAAAAUUCCUAGUGAAUAUGUUGGGCGACAUGGGGCAUAUCAUAUCGUUGUCGGUGUAACGGGAUAUGUUUUAAUACAUUAAUACAUUUUUUAAAGCA